RNAcentral lists this transfer RNA (71 nucleotides) under Linnemannia hyalina. RNAcentral's name for it is "Mortierella hyalina tRNA". It matches the Rfam family "tRNA". From Rfam's summary of the family: Transfer RNA (tRNA) molecules are approximately 80 nucleotides in length. Their secondary structure includes four short double-helical elements and three loops (D, anti-codon, and T loops). The record is from Rfam by way of RNAcentral. Lineage: Eukaryota; Fungi; Mortierellomycota; Mortierellomycetes; Mortierellales; Mortierellaceae.
AUCUCAUUGGCUUAAUGGUAAAGCAAAAUACUUCUAAUAUUUGUAUUCUAGUUCGAUUCUGGAAUGAGGUU